This is a long non-coding RNA of Delphinapterus leucas (beluga whale), 4528 nucleotides long. NCBI's taxonomy places the organism in Eukaryota, Metazoa, Chordata, Mammalia, Artiodactyla, Monodontidae. The record is from Ensembl.
AUGGCACACAAGCGCCAGCUACUCUUAGCGGCGUCACAAAGUCGGCUCCCAAGCACAGACUCGGGAUGGGUCCUGGCCAGUCCGACACCCUCUGUCACUCUGAGAACAAGCUUGCUGGCCCCUGAGAGAUGCUGCAGUCCCUGGGCGAAGAUAGGCUCUGAGAGCAAUUUGGACUGUGUAGGACCCUGGCCUCACAGGGCCCCUCCUCUUUGCAUGACCGGCCUUAUGUCGCUCGUCCACCAGGGGAGAGAGAGGACACAGUUCUGGAGAAGUUACCGUGUUCCCUCGACACCCGAUUGGGGAACAUUCCUCAGAGCUCAGAGACACUUCCCAGCAGCUGGAGAAGUCUCAUGGACCACUGGAAACUCAGGAGAGUCGCUCGACUCUAUGGAAGACCCUAUUGAAUACGCAGAAAAUGGAAGUGGGAUGGUCCAAAUCCACAGAGACGAACUCCCGUGCCAUGUGUAGAAUCGUUGACUCAGUCCCUGAAAGAGGGCUAUUAAAGCAGGAAGCAGAAUAAUGGUUGCCAGGGGCUGGCCGUGGAGGAACCAUGUCAGCAACAAAAUGACAAGAGAGCAUGGAAAUGUACACAACUCACUGGGGGUGCUGAUUCCACAACCGUGCACAGGGCUCAAAACUCACCCACCUGUCCACCUGAAAGGGCUGCUUUUACUGAAAACAAUUACGUCUCAGUAAACUUGAAUAGAAAACAAAAGGAGCCUCAUCGUUUUCAUUCCUUUCCUGCAUGAGCAGCACUAAGUCCAGCGAGUCAGAUGGGUGAAGAUACGCACAAGCGAUUCUUUCAUUUUUACAUAAAAAAUCUGUGCUGUUGCUGUUUACAACAGCCAAGACACAGAAGCAACCUAAACAUCCACCAAGAGAGGAAUCAAUAAAGAAGAUGUGGUUCAUAUAUACAAUGGAAUAUUACUCAGCCGUGAAAAAGAAUCAUGCCAUCUGCAGCAACAUGGAUGGACCUAGAGAUGACCGUACUGAGUGAAGUAAGUCAGAGAAAGACAAAUACCAUAUGGUAUCACUUACAUGUGGAAUCUAAAAUAUGAUACAAGUGAAUCUAUGUACAAAACAGAAAUAGACUCACAGACAUAGAGAACACACUUAUGGUUAAAGGGGGAAGGGAGGGAUAAAUUAGGAGUUUGGAUUGACAUAUACACAGUACUGUACUUAUAAAAUAGAUAAACAACAAGGUCCUACUGCAGAGCACAGGGGAGUAUAUUCAAUAUCCUGUAACAACCUAAAUGGGAAAAGAAUUUGAAAAAGGAACAGAUACAUGAGGGACUUACUUCCCUGGUGGCGCAGUGGAUAAGAAUCUGCCUGCCAAUGCAGGGGACACGGGUUCGAGCCCUGGUCCGGGAAGAUCCCACAUGCCUCGGAGCAACUAAGCCCGUGUGCCGCAACUACUGAGCCUGCGCGCCACAACUACUGAGCCCACGUGCUGCCACUAUUGAAGCCCAUGCACCUAGAGCCCAUGCACUGCAAUGAAGAGUAGCCCCGCUCGCGGCAACUACAGAAAGCCCGUGCGUAGCAACAAGGACCCAACACAGCCAAAAAUAAAUAAAAUUAAAUCUUACAAAAAAAAAAAAAAGGGAUACAUGAAUAGGUAUAACUGAAUCACUUUGCUGUACACCUGAAGAUAACAACACUAUAAAUCAACUAUACUACAGUAUAAAAUAUAUGUAUAUAUAUAUAUAUAUAUAUAUAUAUAUACAUACAUUUUUUUUUUUUUUUUUGCGGUAUGCACUGUUGCCGCCUCUCCUGUUGCGGAGCACAGGCUCCAGACGUGCAGGCUCAGUGGCCAUGGCUCACGGGCCCAGCCGCUCCACAGCAUGUGGGAUCUUCCCGGACUGGGGCACGAACCCAUGUCCCCUGCAUUGGCAGGCGGACUCUCAACCACUGCGCCACCAGGGAAGCCCCUAAAAUAUAUAUAUUUUUAAUUGUAAUUUUCAUGUAAAAAAAAAAGUGUGCGUUUAAGGCACUGUCCAAAUGAACAACUCUCCUUGAGGAUUUUGUCUGCAUUCACGCUUUCUUUUGAGACAGUAUCUGGGGGUGGGAUGCUUUGUCAUCCUACCUGUGGCCCUGCUCCCGAUGACACUGCUGUACACGAAAAAUCGGUAAAAACACACCCCUUAUCUUUCAUCGUCUGUUUCGGCCUCGUUGCCUAUGGAAAAGACCCCUAGAUAAAACGAAAAAAAAGAAAGCAAGCAUUAAAGUAUGGAACUGCACCACUAGCAAUGUGUUCCUACCAUCCGGGCAGGCGUCCAGCAGAGGCAGGUGGUGGGCAAUGUAAACCAGAGUCCUGCCCACCAGCCGUGACGCUCAGCACGGCCACUGGGGUACAGCUGAUGGUCGUGACGAGCAGGGCAGCCCUGUGGGAAGGGCAGGGGGGCAGACCGAGGGGGAGGCCGGCAGUGUCCGCAUUCCACAGCUGCCUGAGAAGCAGCGUGCCCGUCACCACAUCUGGAAUCUGCAGGCACAGUUUCUAGAGGGAAACCUGUACAACUGAACCACAGGUGAGGACCGACAUCCCAACAGAAUCCCCUGAGUCCCAGAUAGACAGGGUGGCACAGCUGGACCCACAGAGGACCCUCCCACCGCCCUGAAAACUACCUUCCACAGCUUUAGUUUUAAAUCGUGGACUCACCCGAGUGCCCCCAGCUGUGUGGUUGUGCCUGGCUGAGAGAUGACUUGACUUUUACCCUGUGCCAUGUUCCCAGGGAGUCCUUCUGGAGACCCCGUUACAGACUGUUUACAACAGCUGAGACGUGGAAGCAACCUAAGUGCCCAUCCACAGAGGAACGGAUAAAGAAGAUGUGCUACCUAUACAUACAGUGGAAUAUGACUCAGCCAUGAAAAAGAAUGAAAUCAUGCCAUUGGCAGCAACAUGGGUGGACCUAGAGAUGAUCAUACUGAGUGAAGUAAGACAGAGAAAGACAAAUACCAUAUGAUAUCGCUUAUAUGUGGAAUCAAAAAAAGAUACAAAUGAACUUAUGUACAAAACAGAAACAGACUCACAGACAUAGAGAUCAGCCUAGAGGGAGCGGGGUGAGGGAGGGAAGAAUUGGGAGUGUGGGAUUAGCAGAUGCAAACUAGUUUAUAUAGGAUACACACACAACGAGGUCCUACUGUACAGCAUAGAAAACUCUACUCGAUAUACUGUAAUAAACUAUACUGGAAAAGAAACAAAAAAACCCCACCUUUCUUCCCUGACCUAUAGACAGUGCACUGGCUGGUCUCUUCCUCCCCCCGCCCCACCCUCUCUCCCUGGCUCACUCCAUUCCAGUGUCCUUCCUGCUCUUCCAGUUAACCACGUAUGUUCAUCCUCAGGGUCUACACCCUUGUGGUCCCCUCCUCCUGGAAUUUUCCCCCAGACAUCCCCAUGGCUUCCCCUCUUACCUCCUUCAGAUUUGCCAAAAGUCAACUUCACAGGCAGACUGAUUCUGACCACGUUCAUGGCCAUCUGCAGUCUCCCUCCCAUCCUCGUUGCGGAUUUAUUCUCCAUUCUGCUUGUUACCUUUCUGAUACUCUAAGGGUUACUUUUACCUUAUAGGCUCUUUGAGUUGAUGCUUUUGUCUGUCUUGAUCACUGCUGUGUCCCAGCACCUAGAAGCCUGCCAGUGUGAUGGUCUCUUCUUGCUUGAAAUCUUGAACUAAAAUAACGAUUGAGGAAACACCCAGUACACACGUCCGUGCUGCAAACAGCUGAGUGAUAAAGACAGAAAAAUACAGAUAAGAAUUCCGCUGAUGUGCUCAGGAAAGUCCAUUAGACCUGUUCUGGCACCACUGUGUGUGUGAUCAAGCGACUGAAAGGGCCGUGGGACUCUGGGGCAAAUGUGGAAGAACUCCGGUGACAGGAGGAUGCUUCUGUGAACACAGAAGACGCGUAGAAGGUAAAGCUGGAGAGAAGAUUGGGAAGCGGGUCAUAUAAAACCUUGGAGGCUGUGCUGAAGACUUAGAUUAUAUUCGACCUGCAAUAUUUUAUCCUGGGAUAUUCUACCUAUAUAACAGAACAUGCACAAAUGACCUUUUUUCGUUUGUUUGUUUUGUUUUGCGGUACGCAGGCCUCUCAGUGUUGUGGCCUCUCCCGUUGCCGAGCACAGCCUCCCGACGCACAGGCUCAGCGGCCAUGGCUCACGGGCCCAGCCCCUCCACGGCAUGUGGGAUCUUCCCGGACCGGGGCAUGAACCCGUGUCCCCUGCAUCGGCAGGCGGACUCUCAACCACUGCGCCACCAGGGAAGCCCGACCUAUUUUCAUUUAUAUAAGAUACUCUGGCUUUUAUGAGAGCAGUGGACAAAGAGGGACACUGUGUUAUCUGCUAGGACUGUCGUCAUAGAGGACCACAGAUGGGCGGCUUCAACACAGAAAUGUAUUUUCUCACGGUCCUGGAGCCUGGAAGCCUAGGAUUCAAGAGCCAGCAGGGUUGGCUGCUGGUGAGAUUUCUCUUCCUGGCUCAUAGACGGCUGUCUUCUUGCUGUGUCCUCCCAUGGAGGAGAGAGAGGGGGAGAGAGAGAGGGGG